Molecule: small nuclear RNA, 104 nt
Organism: Delphinapterus leucas (beluga whale)
Lineage: Eukaryota; Metazoa; Chordata; Mammalia; Artiodactyla; Monodontidae
Source: Ensembl
GUGCUCACUUCAGCACACAAACUAAAAUUGGAAUGAUACAGAGACAGUUAGCACGGCCCCUGUGCAAGGAUGACACACAAAUUCUUGAAGUGUUCCAUAUUUUU